Molecule: unclassified non-coding RNA, 222 nt
Filed under: plant metagenome
Description: partial contains small subunit ribosomal RNA, internal transcribed spacer 1, and 5.8S ribosomal RNA
Source: RNAcentral
UUUCCGUAGGUGAACCUGCGGAAGGAUCAUUAAAGAACGCCCCGUUUUUUGAAAUGGGUAAUUCUAAACCGUGUAUACAUACCUUUGUUGCUUUGGCAGGCCGCCCCUCAGGGCGUCGGCUCCGGCUGACUGCGCCUGCCAGAGGACCCAAACUCUUUUGUUUAGUGAUGUCUGAGUACUAUAUAAUAGUUAAAACUUUCAACAACGGAUCUUUUGGUUCUG